AUUGUGGACCGAUGGAGGGACGGCGUCUGAAUGGUCAGCGGUACGACUAGAAGCGUCCGUGGACUCUUAUAAGGUGUGGGAUAGGCAAAUCCGCCCACAUAAGCCAAGUAAGGGGACCGACUGCAUUUAUGUUCAGGAAGUGAUCUGAAAGACGUCCAAGAAAAGCUUCUAAGGGUUGAAGCAAUGUGACCGUACUAAAACUGACACAGGUAGGCGAGACGAGUAGUCUAAGGCGCUCGGGAUAACGGUGGUUAAGGAACUCUGCAAAUUGACCCCGUAAGUUCGCGAUAAGGGGUGCCUUCUGGGGUGAAAGCUCUGGGAGGCCGCAGUGAAUCGGCUUUGGCGACUGUUUAUCAAAAACACAGGACUCUGCUAACACGCAAGUGGAUGUAUAGAGUCUGACGCCUGCCCGGUGCUGGUAGGUUAAGGAAGCGGGUUAGCCCUUCGGGGUGAAGCUCUCAACCGAAGCCCCAGUAAACGGCGGCCGUAACUAUGACGGUCCUAAGGUAGCGAAGUUCCUUGUCGGGUAAGUUCCGACCUGCAUGAAUGGCGUAACGACUGGAGCACUGUCUCAACCACCGACCCGGUGAAAUUGUAGUCGUGGUGAAGAUGCCACGUACCCGCGGUUAGACGGAAAGACCCCGUGAACCUUUACUGUAGGCUGAUAUUGGGCUGAGGUAUGUUUUGUGUAGGAUAGGUGGGAGGCUAUGAAGUGGUAGCGCUAGCUAUCAUGGAGCCAUCCUUGAAAUACCACCCUGAAUAUGCUUUAGUUCUAACGCUGAACCCGUGAAUCCGGGCAGCGGACAUUGUCAGUUGGGCAGUUUGACUGGGGCGGUCUCCUCCCAAAGAGUAACGGAGGAGUGCAAAGGUACCCUCAGCCUGGUCGGCGACCAGGCGUAGAGCGUAAAGGUAGAAGGGUGCUUGACUGCGAGACUUAUCAGUCGAGCAGGAACGAAAGUUGGCCUUAGUGAUCCGGUGGUUCCGAAUGGAAGGGCCAUCGCUCAUCAGAUAAAAGGUACUCCGGGGAUAACAGGCUUAUCGCUUCCGAGCGUCCGUAGCGGCGAAGCGGUUUGGCACCUCGAUGUCGGCUCAUCACAUCCUGGGGGUGAAGAAGCUCCCAAGGGUUUGGCUGUUCGCCAAUGAAAGUGGUACGUGAGCUGGGUUCAGACCGUCGUGAGACAGGUCGGUCCCUAUCUGCCGUGGGCGUACGAAACUUGAAGGGGUUCAACUUUAGUACGAGAGGAUUUAGUUGGACGUAGCUCUGGUGUACCAGUUGUCGCGCUAGCGGCACGGCUGGAUAGCUAACUACGGAAAAGAUAAACGCUGAAAGCAUCUAAGCGUGAAGCUCUCCCUGAGAUGAGGUUUCGUUUCCCAAUUUGGGAUGAAGUCCCCUGGAAGACGACCAGGUUGAUAGGCCAGAUGUGUAAGCAUGGUAACAUGUUCAGCUAACUGGUACUAACGGACAAACGCUUGACC
RNAcentral lists this ribosomal RNA (1476 nucleotides) under metagenome. RNAcentral describes it as "bacterial LSU rRNA". It matches the Rfam family "Bacterial large subunit ribosomal RNA", at positions 1453 to 2925 of the family's 2925-position model. The record is from RNAcentral.